Molecule: unclassified non-coding RNA, 1017 nt
Filed under: Hevea brasiliensis (rubber tree)
Lineage: Eukaryota; Viridiplantae; Streptophyta; Magnoliopsida; Malpighiales; Euphorbiaceae
Source: RNAcentral
AUUUUUAAGUAUAAUUUUUAUUUUAUAAAAAUAGAUUAAUCAUAAAUAUUUAAAUGAAGAAAUUUGCUGAGAAAGAUAUUUUUAGAUUUCAGCAAUUUUCUCUGUAAACUUAUCAUGAACAAUCAUGUUACCUAAUGAUUCCAUGGUCCAUUGACAAAACAUAUUUGGCCGUUACCAGCAAGUAAUGUGCUUAGCUAUGUCCCACUGUUUCUGCCUACCAUUAUGUAUAAAAAUUUUGGCCCACACCACAAUGGGUUUUCGAUGUACUGGUGGAACCAUAAAACGCAUAAUUAUUUACCUUUUAUAUUCCACAUCGACAAUCCCAAGUCCUAGAAUGUCUUUGCCCAUUCCCUCGUUGGCCAUGGCCAUGAAAGCUCUGCUACUCAGAACAAAUUCUGUCUGGUUAUUGUGAUUGAGAUCAGUCAUGAUCACUGUAGUUCCUUUACUGCUACAAAGGGUAUUGUUUUUGCAUCUUAUCUGAAAACAGGCACCGCAACCAGCCCCAUCUUUGUAAAGAGUAGGAAUACCAGCUGCAAGGUGUCCACUGUUGAAACCUGGUGCCAAGGAACCGUAUCCACAAGCCCCAGAAUUAAGUGCAGAAGCUUUGGAGAAAUAUGCAGCCUUAGUUUGGUGCACACAGCGAUCACAAGCAGUUACAGAUGAGAUAAGAAAAAGAAGAAAGCUAAAGCAAAGAAAGAGAGACAUUAUGAAGCUGAUGAAAAUGUCAAAUGAGAAAAAUCAAUGUGGUAUAGAGAGAAUGGUGAAGAAGAAGCGGAUGAUUGAAACAAGAGCACUAAGAAGUAAAAGAAAUCAGGAAUAUUUAUAUACAGAUGGUAUUGGCUUAGAAUUUGGAGUACAGGUCAGCAUUCAAGCGUGUAAAUGUACAGAACAUUGAAGUAAAUAGGAAGGUGAUUAGUAAAGGCACAAGCAUUUUGUAAGAAUGAUAAAAAAAUGAUGCGUUCUAUGCACCGACUCUUUAUCUCUGCACUUACAACUGGCUGGCGACAACACGCUUUU